This 498-nucleotide ribosomal RNA is filed under the name uncultured bacterium. Its description in RNAcentral is "bacterial SSU rRNA". It matches the Rfam family "Bacterial small subunit ribosomal RNA", at positions 28 to 520 of the family's 1533-position model. The record is from RNAcentral.
GAUGAACGCUAGCGGGAGGCCUAAUACAUGCAAGUCGAACGGUAACAGGGGUAGCAAUACCCGCUGACGAGUGGCGCACGGGUGCGUAACACGUACACAAUCUACCUUAUACUGGAGCAUAACCUUGGGAAACUGAGGCUAAUUCUCCAUAACAUAUUGAAGAGGCAUCUCUUUAAUAUUAAAACUCAGGUGGUAUAAGAUGAGUGUGCGUCUGAUUAGCUAGUUGGUGGGGUAAUGGCUCACCAAGGCAACGAUCAGUAGCUGGUCUGAGAGGAUGAUCAGCCACACGGGCACUGAGACACGGGCCCGACUCCUACGGGAGGCAGCAGUAGGGAAUAUUGGACAAUGGGCGCAAGCCUGAUCCAGCCAUCCCGCGUGAAGGAUUAAGGCCCUCUGGGUUGUAAACUUCUUUUCUUUGGGAAUAAAAACUCCGUUUCUACGGAGCUUGAAGGUACCAGAGGAAUAAGCACCGGCUAACUCCGUGCCAGCAGCCGACGG